RNAcentral lists this ribosomal RNA (465 nucleotides) under uncultured bacterium. Its description in RNAcentral is "partial 16S ribosomal RNA". It matches the Rfam family "Bacterial small subunit ribosomal RNA", at positions 338 to 795 of the family's 1533-position model. The record is from RNAcentral.
CCUACGGGUGGCAGCAGUGGGGAAUAUUGCGCAAUGGGCGAAAGCCUGACGCAGCGACGCCGCGUGAGGGAUGAAGGUCUUCGGAUCGUAAACCUCUGUCAGCAGGGAAGAACGGUCACUGUGCUAAUCAGCAGUGAAUUGACGGUACCUGCAAAGGAAGCACCGGCUAACUCAGUGCCAGCAGCCGCGGUAAUACGGAGGGUGCGAGCGUUAAUCGGAAUUACUGGGCGUAAAGCGCUCGUAGGCGGUAUGUCAAGUCAAGGGUGAAAUCCCCGCGCUCAACGUGGGAACUGCCUUUGAAACUGGCAGACUGGAGUGUGGGAGAGGAUAGUGGAAUUCCAGGGGUAGGAGUGAAAUCCGUAGAUAUCUGGAGGAACAUCAGUGGCGAAGGCGACUUUCUGGCACAUAACUGACGCUGAGGAGCGAAAGCGUGGGUAGCAAACAGGAUUAGAUACCCUGGUAGUC